UGCUGGUUACUUCGCAAUAUGACGUCGUGAACCCCGCCAGGACCGGAAGGUAGCAACGGUAGCGACUGUGGUAUGUGCCGAAGCAUUGCUAGUGGGG
RNAcentral lists this signal recognition particle RNA (97 nucleotides) under Gammaproteobacteria bacterium. Its description in RNAcentral is "signal recognition particle sRNA small type". It matches the Rfam family "Bacterial small signal recognition particle RNA". From Rfam's summary of the family: The signal recognition particle (SRP) is a universally conserved ribonucleoprotein involved in the co-translational targeting of proteins to membranes. Archaeal SRP consists of a 7S RNA and homologues of the eukaryotic SRP19 and SRP54 proteins. Lineage: Bacteria; Pseudomonadati; Pseudomonadota; Gammaproteobacteria. The record is from RNAcentral.